This 592-nucleotide ribosomal RNA is filed under the name uncultured bacterium. Its description in RNAcentral is "partial 16S ribosomal RNA". It matches the Rfam family "Bacterial small subunit ribosomal RNA", at positions 355 to 1375 of the family's 1533-position model. The record is from RNAcentral.
UGGGGAAUUUUGGACAAUGGGCGAAAGCCUGAUCCAGCAAUGCCGCGUGUGUGAAGAAGGCCUUCGGGUUGUAAAGCACUUUUGUCCGGAAAGAAAUCCUUGGCUCUAAUACAGUCGGGGGAUGACGGUACCGGAAGAAUAAGCACCGGCUAACUACGUGCCAGCAGCCGCGGUAAUACGUAGGGUGCAAGCGUUAAUCGGAAUUACUGGGCGUAAAGCGUGCGCAGGCGGUUUGCUAAGACCGAUGUGAAAUCCCCGGGCUCAACCUGGGAACUGCAUUGGUGACUGGCAGGCUAGAGUAUGGCAGAGGGGGGUAGAAUUCCACGUGUAGCAGUGAAAUGCGUAGAGAUGUGGAGGAAUACCGAUGGCGAAGGCAGCCCCCUGGGCCAAUACUGACGCUCAUGCACGAAAAGCGUGGGGAGCAAAACAGGAUUAGAUACCCUGGUAGUCCACGCCCUAAAACGAUGUCAACUAGUUGUUGGGGAUUCAUUUCCUUAGUAACGUAGCUAAACGCGUGAAGUUGACCGCCUGGGGAGUACGGUCGCAAAGAUUAAAAACUUAAAAUGAAUUGACGGGGUCAUAGCUGUUUCCU